RNAcentral lists this ribosomal RNA (460 nucleotides) under uncultured bacterium. RNAcentral describes it as "partial 16S ribosomal RNA". It matches the Rfam family "Bacterial small subunit ribosomal RNA", at positions 338 to 795 of the family's 1533-position model. The record is from RNAcentral.
CCUACGGGGGGCAGCAGUGAGGAAUAUUGGUCAAUGGACGAGAGUCUGAACCAGCCAAGUAGCGUGAAGGAUGACUGCCCUAUGGGUUAUAAACUUCUUUUAUAUGGGAAUAACAUGUUCCACGUGUGGGAUUUUGUAUGUACCAUAUGAAUAAGGAUCGGCUAACUCCGUGCCAGCAGCCGCGGUAAUACGGAGGAUCCGAGCGUUAUCCGGAUUUAUUGGGUUUAAAGGGAGCGUAGGUGGAUUGUUAAGUCAGUUGUGAAAGUUUGCGGCUCAACCGUAAAAUUGCAGUUGAAACUGGCAGUCUUGAGUACAGUAGAGGUGGGCGGAAUUCGUGGGGUAGCGGUGAAAUGCUUAGAUAUCACGAAGAACUCCGAUUGCGAAGGCAGCUCACUGGACUGCAACUGACACUGAGGCUCGAAAGUGUGGGGAUCAAACAGGAUUAGAUACCCCUGUAGUC